AAAUCUGCCCCAAAUUACAAAAUCAGUGUACAUCAGCAUUUACUUAUUUAGCAGCACCCAGAAAACUCCAAACUCAUACCACAUGAAACAGUCAAGCACCCCCAUAACCCAAAAACAGGGAAAAGGGGGAAGUUGCUAAUUAAGAAUUUAAGAUCCUAGUUUCAACAGUUUUACUUAUAAAACAUCCCAAGUACUGUAAGUAGUCAACAUAAAUAAUUAAGGUACGAGGUUUUCAGAAGUGAUGGGUGAUGUAAACCCAGAUUUUAUUCAACCAACUGAAUACAGACCAAAUCCCACCUCCACCAUUGAAGCCAAAGAAAUCCCAGUAAUUGACAUCUCCUCUGCAAGUGAUGAGGUAAUAGCAGAGAUUAAGGAAGCUUGCGAAAAAUGGGGAUUUUUUCAAGUGGUAAAUCAUGGGGUGCCUUUAAAGAAGAGAGAGAUAGCGGAAUUGGCGGCGAGGAAAUUCUUUGGGUUGUCAAUGGAGGAGAAGAAGAAAGUGAGAAGAGAUGAAGAGAACCCUUUGGGGUAUUAUGAUUCUGAGCAUACUAAGAAUGUUAGGGAUUGGAAGGAGAUUUUUGAUUUUACUGUACAAGAUCCAACUUUGAUUCCUGCUUCACAUGAGAUUGGAGAUGAUGAGAUUAAGGAAUUGAGGAAUCAGUGGCCUGAUUAUCCUCCUGAGUUCAGGGUGGCCUGUGAAGAAUACACUCAAGAAAUGGUGAAACUAUCUUUUAAGCUGUUGGAGCUUAUAGCAUCGAGCUUAGGUGUACCUGCGGACCGUCUUAGUGGCUAUUUCAAAGACCAUGCAUCAUUUGUUCGAAUCAAUUACUAUCCACCAUGCCCUUACCCUGAUCUGGCUCUAGGAGUUGGUCCUCACAAGGACUCUGGUGCCUUGACUGUUCUUGCACAAGAUGAUAUCGGAGGACUUGAAGUCAAACGAAAAAUGGAUGGUGCGUGGAUCCUUGUGAAACCUAUUCCAGAUGCAUAUAUUAUCAAUGUCGGGGAUGUAAUUCAGGUUUGGAGCAAUGAUAAAUACGAGAGUGUAGAGCAUAGAGUGAAAGUUAAUCCCGAUAAGGAGAGAUUAUCAAUUCCAUUCUUCUUUAAUCCGUCACACUAUGUUAUGGUCAAGCCUUUGAACGAACUGAUAGACAAACAGAACCCUGCUAAAUACAGAGAAUAUAACUAUGGGAAGUUCUAUACUACAAGAAGGCUCAGCGACUUCAAAAAGCUCAAUGUUGAAAAUAUCCAAGUUCUUCAUUUCAGAAUACAAGAGUAAUUUAGGGUCAGUUGUCUAAAUGCAAAUUAUGCCACAAUUGUGGAAGGACACUUUCAGAAACUUCUGGUUGAAAAGUCUGCUAGUUUCAGCUAGAGAUGUUCGGUCCUUCUCAGAUUACACACAACCAUUGAUGGAUUUGAUGAAAGAUAUUCCCUCACAUCAGAAGGUGAUACUAGUUGGUCAUAGUUAUGGUGGUGCUGUUAUAUCUCAGGCAAUGGAACAUUUCCC
Spinacia oleracea (spinach) is the source of this 1501-nucleotide RNA transcript. It is a transcript of the gene named jasmonate-induced oxygenase 2-like, with no coding region annotated. The transcript has 4 exons. The record is from RefSeq and is a predicted model, not a curated record. NCBI's taxonomy places the organism in Eukaryota, Viridiplantae, Streptophyta, Magnoliopsida, Caryophyllales, Amaranthaceae.